CACUCCAUAAUCCAAUCAUUGGAAUCCUCUACAUUUAACUGUCAUUCUCCCUACACUUCUUCACACAAAUCCAGAUUCCAAAGAUUCCUUCUCAAACCUCAGUAUUAUAAUUCUUCCAUUCAUAACCAUUCUUCUGUAAUACUUCUAAUUGUCUACUUACAAUUCUCCACUAUAUCCAUCCAUAAUAAAUUCCAUACUUCAUUUAUAAUAUUAAAUCUCUUUUUCAUUCCAAAAUUUCACUUCAUAUUAUUCAAAAACCAUUCAUUACUUUUCAACUACAAAGAAACAAAGAGGUAUCACUAAGCUUAUCUUGGCUCAUAACUAUCACAGUCUGGUCCCUUUUACUUCUUUCUCAGCCUAAUUAUACUUACCUCAAAAUGCCAACCACUAUUCAAUAUGAUGAUAACUACUUUUUUUGAUUGAAUCAUCCAUUCAACUUUCUAAACUAUCUAUUCAUCAAUUUAUUAGC
Molecule: long non-coding RNA, 469 nt
Filed under: Physcomitrium patens
Lineage: Eukaryota; Viridiplantae; Streptophyta; Bryopsida; Funariales; Funariaceae
Description: long non-coding RNA (PPAT_LNC000998)
Source: RNAcentral